GUGCUGUUCCCGCCAAUUCCUGUGGUAAUCCUUACCGUGGCGAGUUCCGCGCUCAAUGGAGACGUUUGACCCCACCGAGCUGCCCGAGCUGCUUAAACUUUAUUACCGGAGGCUCUUUCCCUACUCUCAGUACUAUCGCUGGCUCAACUACGGUGGAGCCCAAUCAACACAAUACAGUGAAGCUGGGAGCUUUCCAGGCUCAGGAAAAAGAACUGGUAUUUGACAUUGACAUGACAGACUAUGACGAUGUGAGGAGAUGUUGUAGUUCUGCAGACAUAUGUCCUAAGUGCUG
RNAcentral lists this long non-coding RNA (292 nucleotides) under Homo sapiens (human). Its description in RNAcentral is "HSALNT0189905". The record is from RNAcentral. Lineage: Eukaryota; Metazoa; Chordata; Mammalia; Primates; Hominidae.